Molecule: long non-coding RNA, 11875 nt
Organism: Dermochelys coriacea (leatherback sea turtle)
Lineage: Eukaryota; Metazoa; Chordata; Testudines; Dermochelyidae
Exons: 4
Source: RefSeq, a predicted model, not a curated record
CAGAGAGGGGACGGCAGGCAGAGGAGGGGUCAACGGCUUCAAAAAUGAGUCAAGUUUAGUUGGAUGCCGCUCAGAUUUCUGUGGCGGGACGGCAGCAGGAGGUGUGGAGCAGGAGUCGGGGUGUACAGCACUCACAGCUGGAUCCCCAGGAGACUGGUGUGGCCGGGAGCAUUGUCCUCCUCACCGGAAAGCCUGUGAUUCAAUAGCCAUGGACGGGGUGCUGGGAAGGAGACGGUAACACAGAUCUCAUCUCUCCUAGCCAGCGGGGUGGGUGGCGGGAGCUGUUGCCAUUUUUCAGGCCUAUAUCCAGGUCAGCUGGUUCGGCACGCCAGCCCCGCCGUGACGAUGUUGCGCUGCCAAAGGCUCCAAGAGAUUGCAAAGGAUCUCAAAUACCCAAACAGAAGCGGCAGUAGACCCCAUUAAUAUUUCGGUGGCUGUCGGGCAAAGCUGCUCAGAACAAGAUUAUUGGCAGGCUGUCUGCAGAACGCAGGCUAGAUACUCAUCUCCUGAGACUCACUUUGACUACCCUUUAUACUAUUGCUUUUUCUUUUAGCAAAGCAGGCGCUUAAAAAAGAAAGAGAGAGAAACACUCGACAACAUGUAUGUUUUCAACACUGCGUUGGAUGGAAACCCAGCUGGGGUAGGAGGGUGAGAGCUGGGUCUGAUCACUUGAUCACCUCUGUUAGUCAAAAACAAAUGGAUCUAGGGCCAAACACGUCCCACAAAGUCUUUUUCUCCCUUAAUAUUUUUUUUCAGAUGGAAUAUUUUCUUGCCAAGCCACAGACAACCCAAGCUGCAAGAUCUGGAUUCUGAUUUUUGAACACUCCACAGUUUGAGGAGUAUUUGGAUCUAGUUUGGCCCAUAAUAAUGACAGGAGCAUCGAUUCAUAUGCUUUAGGGCCAGGAGAGACCAUUAAAAUCAUCUCAUCUGACCUCCGGCAAAGCACAGGCCAUAGACUUUCACCCUAUGGUAACUGCAUCAAACCCAUUCCUUCGAGCUGAGCUAGAGCAUGUUUUUUACCUACAGCAUAUUUGGGCCUGUCUCUGCCAUUGGCCUGAUUCAGACAUCAAGCAACCCAAAAAAUCAGAGUUGUUUUGGUUCUGGGCUUUUGUUUCAGGCCUAUCACUAAUGGAAAUGGGGUUGACCUUGCAGGGACUCUCAGGAGGAGUGUCUCGGAGACUGCGGCAGAAGGGGCAUUUGAAACAAGACCUCGUAGGAGGCAUGAAGAGCGUAGUAAGACUUGGGACAAGUGGCUGCAGGAAUGGAUGCUAGCAAGAGUGGUUGCAAAGCAUCUACUGAAGAAGACAUAAGACUUCCAGAGUCAGGUUUCCUUUGGAUGCUCCUGAGCCUGACCUGCCAUAGGGGAUGUCCCAGUUCACCUUCGCUUGCUUCUGCGGGCUCCAUGGCUUCUGCAAGAUGAAGAGGAAUAAAGAAGAGCCCAGCGCAGAGCAGGAGACGUCAGUGUGAGACUUGUCUCGGGUGUAUCACGUUUACCCGCUCACUCACAUCGCUGGAUCCCAGCCCUGCUUUGAACUUGAGACUUGCCUGGCUUGGAAAAAAAGCUGAAACUCAGAAAUGACCCUUACAGAAGAGCCACAAACAGGCAUUAUCAUGGGUGCUAGGGUGGUUCAGCACAGAUCCCCAGUCUCAAAGGUGCUUGGCCUUGGACCCCACAGCUAUCCGUGGCAGAGAGAGAGUUUGUCCAUUUGCUGGGUAAAAGUUUCAUUCAUGAGAAAGCUGUCCUUGUCUUGCUCGAAUAUAUCCUCAUGGACAGACUCUGAAAGAGAUUUGCAAAUCAAGAGCCAAGUCCUGCCCUCAGUUUCCCUGGAGUAAGUGGGCAGCAGGAAUUGGCUCUGUGUUUUUAAGUUGUCUCACUGCUGCACUGUCAACUGAAAAUGAACAAGCUGUAGAGUUUUUUUAGUAUCUCCAGCAAAUGUCUGUGUCUACAAGAAGCAGUUCCUAAUGCCUCUGAGACAUUUUGGGCUCAGAUGUGCUAGAUGACAGCAUGGAGAAACCCUUAGGAAGUGGUGCAAACAAACUGGGCUUUGAUUCUGCUCCUUCUCCCUUCAGUCACUCCACUGAAGUCUAUGUUGUUAGCCCAGUGGGAGAGCAGACUCAUACCCCUUACAUGUCUAUAUUAAAUAUGGGAAGUGAAUUUUGCAGUUGGCCCCUUUUCUAUAAUGGGCUUGAAUCAGAACUUUAUGUGGAGAAAAGUUUGGAACUGGGAAUCAGAUCUCAGCUUUGGAGCUUAGGUCUAUCUCUAGCAUGUAUGCAUCCUCCCAUGGUUCUCCACUUUUCCCAUAAUGGGUACCAUCUUCCAAUCUAGCCAUUUAGCAACCUGGGAAAGGCAGAAUGGCCAUUACCCUCUGACACCUGUUCAUGUACAUGCUGUGGGACACAACCCCCAGGAUAAGAGCCCAUGUUCUCAAAAAAAUUCAUGCAGCUGACAGUCUGGAAAAUGCCAGUGUUCAAAUCAUUAAUCUUUUUUGCUGGCACUGCCUCACCUAAUCCAGGCACAGCCAUUAGUGUUAGUACAGUGCUAUAGUUUCAGAGGUUGUCCCUGUUUUCUCCUUCCUUGUCCGUACACCUUUCCUACUUGCUGUUAAAGCCAUAGGGAAACUCCCUGUGUGCUGUGCCUUUCAGGAGGUGUUUCAGACAGACUGUCCUCUUCAGGUACCCUAAAGUAGCCCCAGCAGUUGUCACUGUGGAUUCCAGAAAAUACAGCUAUUUCAUGGCCUGAUCCAAAGAACACUGAGGUCAGUAGAAACUCUUCCUUUGAUUUCAGUAGGUUUGGAUCAGGACCUCACUCAGGAAGGUCUUCUUGUGGUAGCGUUGGAGAACCCAACCCUCAGCUCCAAACACUCCCAGCCUUAUGGCACUGGAAAUCCAGACCCAAAUUUAGCCACUCAGACCCAGCUCUGGUUAAUUCAGGCAGCCUCAACCCCUUCACUCCUGAAUCCUUUGCUGCCACCUCCAAAAUGUGCAGCCCCCGAGGCUACUAGAGGUUUGCUGUUUCGAUGGCAGUGACUAGGAGGGAAUACCCAGUGAGGAUGGUCACACAGUAUUUGUAGCCCUUUCAGUCAGAAUAAACUGCAGCUGCUGCGGCUUUCGAGAACUGGUGGCAAGGCCUGAGCUGGGUGCAUGAGAGAGUCAGAGAGACAGGCUGUCCACAUGACAGGCUGCGAUGGUAGCCGUGGAGAUCUGGGGAGGGGUUCAAAAUGGCUGCCUCAGGCAGGGCUGGUUCAGCCAGUACUGCAAAGCUGGCGGCUGUAGAGAACCCUCAUGAACCCCCUCCUGCCCCAGUCAUCUCUGUAUGGAAAAGCCAGUGGGAGGUUCCUUGUUCUUGCUCCAGGGUUCAGUGGCGUGGAGUAGAAGCUGCUUUGUACUGAGCAAGAACCCAGUGGGGACCACUUGGGCCCCCUAGAGAAUGGGGGUGCCUCCCCCUUUAAUAUGCUCCUGGUUAGGGUAAAUUGCUGGUUCUCUGCCUCCUCCUGUGUAACAGAAAACCUCCAUUCACUUGCUCCUCUAAGUCCCUCAGCAAACCCAUUGCACCCGUUCUGGAUACAUCUCCUGAGGCCCGAGUCCCACCACAGAAUGGAACCAAGCCCUCAGAAUCGAUCAGGGCAGAGGAUGGGUAGUGGGAGAAGGUCAUGUGCUAAAUCUGGUGGGGAGGGGGACAAGUGAAUGACGUUGCAUGGGACCGUCAAUAGGCCUUCACUGCAGCCAGCCAAAGGCUUUGGGUAGGUGAUUAAUAUUAAACAAAAAAUAGUAAUUGGGGCAAAACCACCAUUUCUAUUUAAAGGCCAAAACUGGAGGAUCAGGGGCACAGAGUACCAUAGGGCAGUGGGGCCAGAGAUUGUUAAUGCUGUAACUCUGAUGCAAAAUCUUGCCCGGUAGAGUCUCUGAGGACUGUUGUCUCUGCUCCCCUCUAGGAAGGGCAGACAGGUAAAUCUUUAGGGGCCAGAUCCGUGACCAGUGUAAAUCAGAGGAGACUCGUUGACUUCAGUGGAGCUAUGCAGAUUUACACCAGCUGAGGACCUGGCCCCAAGAAGAAUAAGUUGAGCUAAACAAAUCCUUUCCCCCACUUAUAAAACACACCGACCUUUCCAGUGCUCAGACCGCUGCUGCCAGACCGGAUUUACGCUUGACAAACAGAGCUGUGUGUGCUGGUGACAAGCUCUCCUUUUGGGAAGAUUUGCUAGCUUGGCCAGCUACCAAAACCAACAUGGCCAUUAUUUUAUUGUCUUAUCCGAAGGGUUUAGCCUGAAACCUCUGCCCAGCAAGGAUGACCAAUAAAAGGAGACACAUGAGAUCAUCUCCUGGGGUAUAAGAAGAGCAACGAACUAAGCGGCUUUAAAAUAAUCUUUGUCGGGUGCCAGUAGUCGGGGUUGCUCUAGGAGAUGGUUGAGUCACUUCAAACAUGAAACAGCUGGUAGCAGACCAUAGUGAGGAGUCCAACUGCACCUGAUCUUGCUUAGUGAGUCAGUCUGGAAAGUUCACAUGCUGCGAAGCACUGUAUUUUCCCCAUGGAGCAUGAAGAAGAUUCUCACACAAGGUGCUGUCUGGUUCAUGCACAUGAAGGAUCAAGCAUAGGGAAAGGACCCAACACUGAAAGCACUGGGGUCAGACUCCAGAUAUAUAUGGCCCAGAUGUCUUUUUUUCUCAGUGAACUUUGGCAUGGCUGAGCCAACUUGUGAUGGUGACCAUUUUGCUACUGCUUGAUGCUUUACAGAAGCCCAUCACUGGUGGCUGUUGGGCUCAUUUUCAUCUCAUUCCAAUGGUGGCAGAACAUUUAGCAGAAGGCUGAAUUUUAGGCUUAGUUUGGUAUCUAAAUCUCCUAGGAGGCUUAGCAAAUGGCAGUGUUUAAAUAUUAAACAUUACAGGCCAAAUCUUGGGGUCUCUCACCCAGGAAAAGCUUUCACUGGGUCAAUGCCUCACUGGAAUGGAGCAUUUUCAAAUUCCAUUGGCUGCAGAGAGAGAGCCGAAGGUGCUCAGCGUCGCUCUUGACUGGGUGUUUUGAUUGAUUAAAGACUUCAGGAUUUGGCCCUAAAAUUCUUUCCAAUCAUUGACCCCAUAAUAAAGCAGAAGGAAAAGUGAUGCAGAGGACGAACCCUGUCACUGAGCAUCUCUAGAUGCCAAUAUCAUUCAUGUGUGCCCUAUUCUGCAAGUUGACAGCAAUAGGAAACAUGAUUUUUAAAGAAAGCCAGCUACAGCCGUAUUCUGGGUAGGGAUAUGCCUGCGCAGCUCCCACUGAUGCCAAUGGAUCCCAAUAUACGUAUCCAAAGCCAGGAUACAGCUGAAUAUUUCCUAUCACAGUUCUGAGUUUCUGCACAGCAAGAAGUGCUUGGCUGCCUGUGAACUUUUACUCUGUUUUCUGCACUGAGCAAGGUGAGGGUAGUUGUUUUGACUCAUCCCCAUUCAUUUUCAUCAAGGUCAGCUCAUCACCUCAUGCUCAGCUGAUUGUGUAACACACUGUUAGCAGUUAUAGCUCUCCAUGGAUACCAGAGACUAUCUUUACUGGCCUUCUACUUAUACAGAGCAAGAAGAGCUACCUCUUUAGUGCAAGUGGCAGAGACUUGUGCAUUUGGUGCUGAUGGACACAAAUUCAAUCCCUAUUUAGGACCAGUGUCUGUGUGGGUACAGCCCCUGCUCACCGCAGCUGUAAGCUAUAGCAGCUAUUCUGGCAGCAGGAGGUUAUUCCAACUGAAGAUCAGUUGGCCACAAGUCCCUGAGAUCUUUGAAAUUCCUUUGGGUCGAAGUCAGAGGCAGGAGAUUUGCAAAUGAUCACAGACAGUUUCCUUUUUAGUGAGUUGGACCCCAGGUAAACUAAGAAUAUUAAUGUUUUCUCCAGCGUGGUGAGUUUUUAAUUCUUUAAUGGAGCACUAGGUGAAUAGCCAAGGUUAUUGUUGUGAAAUCUAGGCUGCUAUGAGCUUUUGAUUAUGCAGCCAUCACGGCUUCAUAGUUAAGGUUCCAAAAUUAAUACACACACCCUGAGACUCUGUAAAGAGCUAACAGCUUUAUUGAAUGUAUCCAGCUUGGCUGGAGGUUUAUAUAGUACUAAUUAAAUGCUCCUGAAAUGGUUCUUACUCGUAAAAAGUGGUAUGGGUGCUUCUGAGGUUUUCUCUCCAUUGUGGUUGUUCCAAAAUCUGGUCUGGAAGGAGGAGGGGGAUCCUUCCAGGACAAUACGUUAACUUAUUGAAUGUAUACUGUAGACCACCAUAUGGCUGCUGAAUUUAUCUCACCUCUAGAAUUGCACCUGCCUCCAGCAAAGAGCUUCCUAGGUAGGUAUGGAUGAAUAUAGUAUGUAAAAUAUAGAGAGAGAGACACACACAUACAUAUAUAUACAUAUAUAACUGAAAAUGCAAUAAAUUACACAAGUGUGGAUAGAUAGCUCCCAAUAUGUUAAUAUGUUAAUAAUAUGUUAUCUACAGUGGCUCCAAGCAAAAUCAUUUGCUCCUGGCUUGACCCCCUGUGGUGCUCAUAAAUGUCUCGUGGUGUUUUUUGAUUCUCCUAUCGUAAAGACUUGACCUCUAGAUUGAUGGCUGAAGGUUCCUUCAUCCACACAUCAUUUCCCACCAGGCUCCAGCACUGUGCUUUUCUGCAGCAAACCUGUCAAUAGUCUGAACUUCCAAGCAGUUUGCUCUUUGCUAAUUUCCCAGGCUGAGAGCGGGUGCUGCCAACUAACUUCCACAUGACAAGUUUGCAGUGGGCAAAAAGUUAGAUUUUUUUCCCCCAGUGGCAGCAUUUUAUCAGGACACCGGACUCUUCCAAAUCUGUGAAAGCUGGAAAGCUAACAGCUCUUGUCAAAGUACAAAUGAGCUCCCCCUCUCUCUUUCUCUUCCUCACCCACAUACUUGCACAAGCCCUGGUGUUUUUUAUAUGUCUAUAUAAGAAGCAUUUUGCUUCAGUGCCCAGAAUUUCCUUUGUUCCCACACUUGUGUAACAUGCUUUAUGCUGCUUGUCCAUCUGGCUUCCACUUUUCCAUGUCAGAGGUGACUGCAUUUCAGUGGUGCUAUAGAAAUACAAAUCUUACUACUACUACUACUACUAAAUUAACAAUAGUGAUAAACUAGUACAGAGCUAUUCAUCUAUAAAUCUCAAAGCACUUUACAAAGGAAGGGAAGCAUCAUUGCCUCCAUGGUACUGAGGGGGAAACUGAGGCUCAGAGCAGGGAAGUGACUGCCCAAAGCCACCCAGGGAUUCAGUGGCAGAGGCAGGAAAAUAAUCCAGGUGUCCUGACUCCCAGUUGUCCCUGUGAAGCUCUUUUGGAUCCUUUGGGUGAAAAAGGUGCUGUAGAAAUGUAAGGUUAUUUCUCCCUUUUUAUGACAGUUGCUUUAAUAUCAAUCCCAUUCAUGCUGAAGUCUCUGUAUACUUCUCCCCAUUAUAACAGGAGUCUUAACUGUAACGUAACUCCCUGGAACAGUUUCAAAGAGAAGCGUGCUAUGCUAGCUACCAUCAUUGUUCCUCAGAAAAUGAUUGUUCCUGAAAGAUGCAUUUGUUCCCACCAGAAAUAAUCCAUCUUUAAUCCUAUUACAGUGAAGGAAACCAUCCAAGUUUCUCUAAAUGAGAAUGGAAGGAUAUAUCUGAAACAGGCAAAUCUGCUCAUUUCUGCAAUGCAGCAAGCACUGAAGUGUGCAUCUCCAUUGCUACACACCCCAUUGGCCACCUGCCACCCUUGCCCAUAACCAGCUUUUCAGAUGACUCCGUGGGGACCUAUGAACUUAGCAAGGUGAUGUGCUCAUGGGAAUUUAGGAAACCAAAUAUGCAGCCCCCUUUCCCCAUCCAAUCCUUUCUGGGCAGCUGGCAAAAUGUAUUUAAGUUAAACGGACAGACGCUCCACUGGUAUAAAUCAGCACAGCUCCAAUUACACCAAUUUACUAGAGCUGAGGAUCGGGCCCAAAAUGCGUUGCAAUUAAAAGGAAAACCAGCAUUGCUUGAUCUUGACCGUAGAGCGUCUGCUGUAGUGCUGAUGGUGUAGUCAAGGGGGAAACAGCUUUAACAAUCAAAAUAACCAGAGCAUUGCCUUGGGCUAACUUCCAACAGAGGCAGUGUACCCUCUUUGUGAAUAUUGGCCUGCUUUGGAGCCAGAGAGUCUCCAGAUGUUUAUUUGCAUGACAAUAAGUGGGUAGGGAACCAAAAAAUAGUGUGUGUGUGUGUGUGUGGUGGGGUUUCAUCCCAAGUUGUUUUGUUUUUAUCAGCAGAUGAUCUCUUGACAGAUGUGGUCUUGCCAAGGGAACUUUCACUGCAUUUAUUUAAGAUGAAGGAAAUGUUUGUGCAGUGAGUUGGAAGGGUACAGAGCAUGCACAAAGAGUGAAGCCCAGAAAAAAGCUGCGGCUUGAACUCUUGUAACAUAUUCCUGAAAAUCUUACUGAAGAUGUGCAAAAAGAACAGGGAUCUAGCCUAAUCCAGCAUUUCUUAAUCUGUGGGCAGGACCCCAGAGUGGGUUGCGACCCCGUUUUAAUCGGGUCGCCAGGGCUGGUGUUAUACUUGCAGGGGCUAGGGUCCGAAGCCCAACACCAAGUCCCACCAUCCAGGGCUAAAGCCUGAGGACUUCAUCCCUUAGUGGUGGGGGACAGGUCACAGGACCCCCAUCUGGGGCUGAAGCCCUUGGGCUUUGGCUCCCCUGCCCAGAACAGUGGAGUUCAUUCUUUGGCCCUCCCCACCUGGGGCAGCUGGGCUCAGGCGAGCUCAGGCUUCAGUCCUCCCUCCUGGGGUCACGUAGUAAUUCUUGUUGUCAGAAGGGGGUCACGAUGCAAUGAAGUUUGAGAACCCCUGGCCUAAUCUAAUCUGAUACACAAACCCACGUAUCUAUAAUAUAUCGAGUUGGAAUCUCUUUUUUUUGUAAACUCCACAAUAGGAUUUAAGUCUUCAUUCCACCGGAACACUUUGCAAACACAAGCUCUUGGCAUUUAAUUGGACUGGAAAAAUAUUAGUGUUCUGUUUAUUAUGGCCAGAGUGAUUUCUGCAUUCCAGUGUGUAUCCAAUUUCUUUUAAGAUUAUCUAACCAAAGGUGUCCUUUUCUUUCUUGCACUUCUAGGGUGAUAUGGUAGGAUUAUGUUUUUUAAAUGCACUUUACUCCCCCAUGUUGAGUUGGUGGCCCCAGUUAUCUUGCUCUUUAUGAUUAUGCACAAGAACAUCUAUGGGUAGUUAGGUGUAAAGAAAUCAAACAUUUGCACACCACUGUCUCAUCUGAUACCGUCCAUCUAUCUGUAACUGACAUGGUCCCCCAAUGAGUUCUUUGACCAAUAUUUUCAAAAGUGACUAGUGAUUUUGGGUCCCCAACUUGAGUCACUUAAUAAGUGCUGAGUUCCAGAGGGUGAAUGCUCUGCACUUUCUGAAAAUCAGGCUCCCUUAAGGUGUCUCUAGAUGGGCAUUCAGAAUCACUAAUCACUUUAGAAAAUCUCCCUGCCUUCCUCUCCCUCCCAUUCCCCCAUCCCCACUCAUCAGCAAAAUAGCCUUCCUGGUCCAUAUCUUGCCAUCCUUUCUGUUGAUCUAAACAGGAAUUUUUCCCUGAACAAGAACUGCAGGAUCCGGACCGUUAUUUGCAUCUCUUCUUUAAGGGUAAAAAGACAGUUGGUUAAAUACAAUGUAUAUUUAUUGAAUGUAUCUGUAUAUAAUUUGCACAGCCACUUUGUAAAGCAGGGUGACCACAUGGGUAACAUACUCAUGGACUUAAACCACUGAUAAUCAAACAAUCCUCACUAUGAAGUUUAUUAUAUGUACAGAUUUAUAUAUAGGGUCACAUUUCACUCUCAUUUUUGCUGGUAAAUGCAGAGAGUCUGUCUGUGUGUUCAAAUGUCUCCAAAAAAAUAUGUGUAGUAUAGAGAUGGGCCUGAACCAACCCUUUGGAUCCAAGCACCCCAAAACUUCCACCAAGUUUGCGGAGGUUGGGGGGACCUCAGACCCAUCUCUAGUGUAAAGGCAUGUAAACAAAAAGCAGAACAAAGCAAGAAUAUAGUCACAGAAGAUGCAACACUAAGACCCUGACUCACCCGGCAAAGCAUAUGCAUAAAUUUAAGCUUGUGCUAAAAAGCUUUGCUGGAUUGGAUCCUAAAAUACAAUGGGCCUAAUUCACCCCUAAAGUAACCCCAUUGUUCUUCAGUGAAAUGUACAGUUACCCACACAUUUAAAGGUACAGGACUGUCUUUUCAAUGUGUUAAGUGUCUCCCUAUUGCCCUUUUUUCUUUUACUGUCUGGAUUCUAUCAUAAAGGGACCUAACCAGACACGUUCCUCAGGAGUCUCCCAGCCUCAGUAGCCAUAGAAACCAGCUAUUUUUAGUUUGUUUUUCAAGAUGCCAAUAAAUGACUUUUCUCUACUUUGGAAAGACAGAGGACCCGGUCAGCCUCAUGUAUUAAUGCAUGGUAAAUUAGUGUAUUUUAAAAGCCAUGCAAACUUCUUGUAAAAGUACUGUAUAUUUAAGAAGAAAAAUAAAUGUGAAACUUGUUAAUAGGAGAGUAUAUAAACGUGCAGAGUAGAUUAUUCACUUACUAUUAUAUUUCCUAUCUAAGAAAAAUAUUUGUAAUAAUUUUUAGAGCACACGCUUUAGAGUAUAGAUUUUAUAGAUGUCUGGAGAUAAAGAGUAUUUUUGGUACAUGACAUGUUUUGCUUUCUCCUUUCUCAAGCUGCUUGCUUAAUCCCUGUCCCAGACAUACAUUGGCAGUGUUUGGAAAUUAAAUCAAUGCCUAUGAGAAUGCAAUUGUAUUAAAAAUCCCCAAACAAUGACUUUGUUUUCUAGGAUUUCAUUCAUGUUUGAAGCUGGAGGUUUUUUAAACAGGACUGAGAAACAAAUGUGUUUGAUUAAUUAUCACGCCACAUUUUAAUGAGUGACAGUGGUUUAGCAUUCUACAGCCAAAUUCAAUAUGCAAAGGGAAAUAAAUAUAGCGGAAUAGAGGAUCUGUUUUCUUGAGGUUUUCUUAAAACCAGUCAGAUCUGCAGAAAUUAUUUAGGUCCCAGACUUGCAAUGCAAUGUAACGGGGCAGACCUUUGCACAUAUGCAGAGCCCCAUUGACUUCAGUGGCACAAUAAUACUGGCACAAAAGUCCACCCACAUACAUCACAUUGCAGGACUGAGGCCGUGGUGGUAUUUUCCCACAUACUUGGUAUGACUUGAUUAAAAUUAUGCAUAUAUACCUUGUAUGGUAUUUUUAGAAUACCCUAACCUUCUACACCCUUCAUACAGAUCACACAAGCCUUGUGGGGUGGAAAAUUCUGGUAGGGCAAUGGUGCUGUGCAAGCCACCCUUCAUAGACUAUCUGAUCCCGGAAAGGGCUGAAUGUCUUCUGCAAGGUGCUGCUUGCCUCUCAGCUCCCACUGACUUCAACGGGAGCUGAAGGCACACUCUGUAUCUUGUAGGAAGUACUGAGAAAACUUUGCAGCAUUGAUGCCAUAGAAACACAGGGCCAGAUCCUCAGUUGGUGUAAAUCAAUGUAGCAGCAGAUCCGGCUUACUCACUCCAGCAUUGGGAGCUGGGCUAGGAAAACCGUCCUGGAAUCAGAUCAAUAAAACUCUCACGUGUGAUGAUGACCAAGGUGAUUUUCUUUAUACACUUAAUAGUUGUCCUAGGGCUAUAUAUAUACAUGGAGCCCAGUGACUUCUGCUGUAACAUACCUAGUUUACAAGAACGUAUUAUAAAUUAUAGAUGCAUAUCAUGUCUGUAUCUUGCACUGAAAUACCUGCCUAUUGAUCUGUCUCCCGCUGAUUAAUUUUCUUUACUGACUAGUUCCAUUUUUGGAAGCGGCUAACUGGCUUUAUUUCUGUUCUUUUGUAUGUCUCUGAAAUCUAUGCACCUGGAUUAAGCACUUUCUUGUUCUUACUGUAAAAGCAUGACUAGGAAAGCAGGUAUGUUAAUUUCUGUAAUAAAGAGUCUUUAUAAUA